Vespa velutina is the source of this 2033-nucleotide long non-coding RNA. RefSeq lists it as uncharacterized. The transcript is spliced from 2 exons. NCBI's taxonomy places the organism in Eukaryota, Metazoa, Arthropoda, Insecta, Hymenoptera, Vespidae. The record is from RefSeq and is a predicted model, not a curated record.
UUUGGUAGAAUUGCUUGGUUCAUAUACAUAUCAUUCAUUUUCUUUUUAAAUUAUAAUUUGGCUAUUAUAUCGGAAUGCUAUAAUUUUAAGAAGGGUUAAAGCAUGUCUAUGCUAAUUUAAUUUAGCAAUAAUUUUAUGAUUUAAUUGUAAUACAUUGAUUAUUUUAUGUAUGAUAUAAAAAAUGUGUUCAAUGUUCCUAAUAUAUUAAAUUAUUAAAUAAUUUCAAUUUUUUGUACAUUUAAGAAAAAUAUUUCUUCCUUAAGAAAAAUAUUUCAUAUGCUUGAAUAUAAAAGAAAUUCUUAGAUGAGAUCAAUGUGUUAUAACAUGCUUAUCAUUAUAAUUUACCUUACAGCGUUUACAUUACAGUUCGAAAAUAGUUAUUUAAAAAUGUUAUAUAAAAUGUUUUGAUUAAAACACUUAUGAAGAACUUUUAUUUUGAAUAAUUGUUAUGAAAAACUGAAAUUUCUAAUUAUUAUGCUUCGAUUGGUUCAAAUUUGGGUUCCUAUAUCGGUUUUAUAACCAUUAUUUUUUCAGUUUUAUUUAGGUUCUGAAACAGUUUUAGAAUCAAUUCUUGUAUUAAUUUUUCCAUAAUCGUAAUCACUAAUUUUGCAACUACGAAUUACUAUACACGUGUAUAUUUUUUACAAAAUCAUUAUAGAUAAAGGAGAAAUAUUUAUUAUGCCCUGUCAUUGAUUUCUAACGAAUUGUUUAAAUAAAUAAAGCAGUUACAUAUAUAUGUGAUUGGGAUAGGAACGUAUUCUCAAUCUUCAGAUAUCGUAACACUUUCACGAUUCUCGAAGUGAAUAUAAUUGCUGUAUGUAAAUUCGCUCCAAAAUUCAACAAUUGACUAUAAUUUGUCAUUCAUUACCAUCCAACAAUAAUUGUAAUCCAUUGCAUCUAUCACAUACUUAACGUGCAAAUGUUUUGUUUAUCUCUACUGACUCGUUAAAAGGAUUGUAAUAUCGCGAAGUUAACGCGAUACUCGAAGCUUUUCAACGAUCCUUAAAGACAUUUGAGCCAUGGUGUCAAGAUAAAAAAAAUCGAAGCAAAAUCAAUUUCUUAGUAAUACGAAAUGAAUCAGUUCAAUUCUGAUUAUUAUAAUGAACAGAAACUGAAAAUACUCACUAUUUAGUAAUUAAAUAGUUCUGUAAAUAGUAAUGUAAAUAGUAGUGUAAAGAAUUAAUAAUUAUAUAAUUAAAUAGUUAAAUUAGACUGACACUUUUAUAAAAUAAUAGUCAAAAAAAGAUGAUAUUGUAUGAAAGUACUUUAAGAAUUUUGAUUAAUAUGAAUAAGUUACAAUACACUAUUAAACACUGUUCUUAAAAAAUUUUGAUAUAAACAUAUAUGCAUAUAUAUGUUUACUAUUUUUUUUUUUAACUUUGCAACUUAAAAAUUUUAGAAUGAUUCUACAAAUUUAUUAAAACGUUUGGAUAAUCAUCAUCCAAAUAAAUUUAUAGGUGGGAUGAUAAAAAAAGAAGUAUUGAAAUAUAUAAUAAUAACUAAAGUAAGAAGACCAAAUUUGAUUUGAUAGAUACAUGUGUGAGAUUAAUAAUUAUUCAUAGCAGAUCAAUGUCUUUAAUUAUUGGUAAAGCUUCAUAGACAUGGUAUCACAAAUGUCACGAAUAAAAACAAUUCAUAUACAGUAUGCGACAGAAUAAAAUCAAAAUUGAGAACAAGAAAUCGAAACUCCUAUUUAUUAACUUUUUAUCCUAAAUAAUAUAAUUUUUGUGUGAAUAUAAAAGUACUAAAUAGUAAUGUCAAUUACGAAAAAGUCCAAGAACCAACAUAGAACUGAAAAAAUAAUGAUUAUGAAGCUGAUAUAGGAACGCAAAUAAGAAUUGUAACCGAAACAAAUAAAAUUUGGAAAAUUCGGUUCUUCAUAACAGUUAUUUGAAAUAAAGAUCUUUCAUAACCGUUUUGAGAACCGAGAUUGAUAACAAUUCUCAAGCCCUGGUUUACAUAUUAAAACAUUAAAGUUUUUUAUGAAUUAAUGAUCUUAAAAAUUAAUUAAUAAAUUAUUUUAAAAAGUAAAU